CUUCCCUUUACCUCACUCAGCAAAACAAGGUUUCUCAUUAAGGCACAUCCUCCUUAGAAGGUUAUAGAGCCAGGAGGCCGAAUAUGCACAUACUGCAAGGAACUUCGUAUGGCAUUUAACAAAUAAGACUCCCUGAGGUUAAUAGCCUCCACUCGUGUCUCCAAGGGAAAGAGAUCGUCCUCCGCCAAGGAUAAUAGAACACACAGACACUGUCUCAGUCUCAUCCUUGAUAAACUGCUGCAUGAUCACUGCUGUCUGCCGAAGACCAGCAGCAGGGCAGAACAAAACAGAUGUACGGGAACUCCAUGCAGAGAAGCAGACUUGAUCACCAUCUACUCAGGGAUGCUCAAGGAGACUGGGCAGUCUAAGCUCCAGUGGACUGAAGAAAAGACAAAAAGAGGCAGAGGAAAUCCAAAAAGUAGAAUGUCAGACUAUAUUCCACUCAAAUUGUCUCAGUCAUUUGUUAGGAAGAAAGUACAGAGCCCUGACCCCAAAAUAAAGCAAAUCCUCAUUUUGUCCUCUUCAAAAUGAAA
Homo sapiens (human) is the source of this 533-nucleotide long non-coding RNA. The record is from Ensembl. NCBI's taxonomy places the organism in Eukaryota, Metazoa, Chordata, Mammalia, Primates, Hominidae.